This 1049-nucleotide ribosomal RNA is filed under the name bacterium. RNAcentral describes it as "bacterial SSU rRNA". It matches the Rfam family "Bacterial small subunit ribosomal RNA", at positions 86 to 1149 of the family's 1533-position model. The record is from RNAcentral.
GGGGGAUUAGUGGCGAACGGGUGAGUAACACGUGAGUAACCUGCCCUUAACUCUGGGAUAAGCCUGGGAAACUGGGUCUAAUACCGGAUAUGACUGAUCAUCGCAUGGUGGUUGGUGGAAAGCUUUUGCGGUUUUGGAUGGACUCGCGGCCUAUCAGCUUGUUGGUGGGGUAAUGGCCUACCAAGGCGACGACGGGUAGCCGGCCUGAGAGGGUGACCGGCCACACUGGGACUGAGACACGGCCCAGACUCCUACGGGAGGCAGCAGUGGGGAAUAUUGCACAAUGGGCGCAAGCCUGAUGCAGCGACGCCGCGUGAGGGAUGACGGCCUUCGGGUUGUAAACCUCUUUCAGUAGGGAAGAAGCGUAAGUGACGGUACCUGCAGAAGAAGCGCCGGCUAACUACGUGCCAGCAGCCGCGGUAAUACGUAGGGCGCAAGCGUUAUCCGGAAUUAUUGGGCGUAAAGAGCUCGUAGGCGGUUUGUCGCGUCUGCCGUGAAAGUCCGGGGCUCAACUCCGGAUCUGCGGUGGGUACGGGCAGACUAGAGUGAUGUAGGGGAGACUGGAAUUCCUGGUGUAGCGGUGAAAUGCGCAGAUAUCAGGAGGAACACCGAUGGCGAAGGCAGGUCUCUGGGCAUUAACUGACGCUGAGGAGCGAAAGCAUGGGGAGCGAACAGGAUUAGAUACCCUGGUAGUCCAUGCCGUAAACGUUGGGCACUAGGUGUGGGGGACAUUCCACGUUUUCCGCGCCGUAGCUAACGCAUUAAGUGCCCCGCCUGGGGAGUACGGCCGCAAGGCUAAAACUCAAAGGAAUUGACGGGGGCCCGCACAAGCGGCGGAGCAUGCGGAUUAAUUCGAUGCAACGCGAAGAACCUUACCAAGGCUUGACAUGAACCGGAAACGCCUGGAAACAAGUGCCCCACUUGUGGUCGGUUUACAGGUGGUGCAUGGGUGUCGUCAGCUCGUGUCGUGAGAUGUUUGGGUUAAGUCCCGCAACGAGCGCAACCCUCGUUCAUGUUGCAGCACGUGAAGGUGGGGACUCUAAGAGAAU